This 440-nucleotide ribosomal RNA is filed under the name uncultured bacterium. RNAcentral describes it as "partial 16S ribosomal RNA". It matches the Rfam family "Bacterial small subunit ribosomal RNA", at positions 338 to 795 of the family's 1533-position model. The record is from RNAcentral.
CCUACGGGAGGCAGCAGUAGGGAAUAUUGCUCAAUGGGGGAAACCCUGAAGCAGCAACGCCGCGUGGAGGAUGAAGGUUUUCGGAUUGUAAACUCCUUUUGUUAGAGAAGAUAAUGACGGUAUCUAACGAAUAAGCACCGGCUAACUCCGUGCCAGCAGCCGCGGUAAUACGGAGGGUGCAAGCGUUACUCGGAAUCACUGGGCGUAAAGAGCGCGUAGGCGGGAUAGCAAGUCAGAUGUGAAAUCCUAUGGCUUAACCAUAGAACUGCAUUUGAAACUGUUAUUCUAGAGUAUGGUAGAGGUAGGUGGAAUUCUUGGUGUAGGGGUGAAAUGCGUAGAGAUCAAGAGGAAUACUCAUUGCGAAGGCGACCUGCUAGAACAUAACUGACGCUGAUGCGCGAAAGCGUGGGGAGCAAACAGGAUUAGAUACCCCGGUAGUC